GUCCAUGUUUAAGGAAGCGUUGAAGGUCACGUCACUCAAAGCCAACAUCAGCAGGCAUCCUACCAAGAUAAUCUCUGAAGAGGUCAGAGGCACAAUUAUUACAAUUUAUUGUGGACAGGAAAACACAUGGAUGUUGAAUACCAGUUCCUGUGAAAGAUACUUGGGUUUCGGGAUAACAACAGUCCCAAGUCUUCAGAACAAAUCAACAGGUGCAUACUCUCAAACCACAAAUUCAAUCAAGUAUUUCCUUGCACUUACUUGUUAUGACUUCUUAGUCUCUCCAGUCUGUGACAGUUACUCAUUUUCUCCCUGAUACAAGGACUACAACACUUUGGAAGGUGCUUGUCAGAAAUUUAUUCUCCUUAUAUACAUUCCUACACACAUGUGGAUGCUUUUAUUGAAACCAGUUCAUAGGAAGAAUCAUCAAUGGAUGCUAAAACUAAUUGGUGAAAAUAUAAUGAGAAAAAGGAUAUUUACACAGAUCUUCCCUCACAAGAUAUCAUAACUAAUUAUUGUAGUGGAAAUCUUUGUAUACGCUGCUUCAUUCAAGGGAGUACAAUUGAUAUUAACAGCAAUGGGAUAAACAGACCCCAUGAUGUGAUGCACUGAGGACACAAAAUCCCUUCUGUGAUGCUCCUGCCAAACUCCAUAAGUGUAAUGAUGAGGAAACAACAGGCAAACCCUAACCAAGCGACAUUCUACAAAAUAACAUAUCAGUACCUUCAAAAAUGUCAUCAAGGACAAGGAAAAACUGAGGAAUAGGAAUUGUUCCAGAUUAAAAGUGACUAAAGUGACAUGACAAAUAAAUGCAACUUGUAAUAAAGGUUUGAAUCCCUGGACAAGAAAAGAAGUUUUGUUUUUCCGUAGAAGGAUGUCAAAGGAAAAAUUGACAAAAUUCAAAAUUCAAAUAAAGUCUCUAUGUAAGGACAAAAACUGGGAAUAAUAAUAGUAUCUAUAUCAGUACCAUUGUAAAGAUUAUAUGAUAAAACAUAUUAUCAAUAAGUGUUUGUGUUAACAGGUCAUAUACAUGAUACCCUCAGGGUAAUAUGUCCCAUGGAAUUAAAAAUUUGGGUAACAGAAUCAUAUAUGAUAUAUUACAUAAUAUCUCUCAUGAUUUCUGGGAAGCCCACAUAAAUAUGAGGCAAAUUAGAUUAGCUUUCAUACAAAAUAGAAUAAAGAAUAUAAAUAGCUUCAUAUGAGUUUCAUUUCAGGUGUUAGUGACAAAAAAGAUCUGGUCAGGAGAGGAUUUUACUACCAACUGAAAUUCCACACACAUAUACACACAAUUUCAGUCUUCAGAAAUUUUUGGCACAUGAUUUGUCUAUGAAAGGGGUGAUGAUGAUGAUGAUGAUGAUGAUGAUGAUGGUAAUGAUAAUGAUGACUAUUUGUCCAUAAAA
Molecule: long non-coding RNA, 1397 nt
Filed under: Homo sapiens (human)
Lineage: Eukaryota; Metazoa; Chordata; Mammalia; Primates; Hominidae
Description: HSALNT0352817
Source: RNAcentral